UGUGAAUCCAGAAUUUGGUUUCUCUAAAAACUUGGAGGCCUUGAAGGGACCCACUUGCAUAAAUGAUUAAAAUUUUGACUCACUUAAACAAACAUUAGAUCAAAGUUGAAUUAUUAAAGUUUAUGAUCAAAUUAAAAUAAAUUGGGUCUAUUUGGUACAAUUGACUUGCUUGGAAAGCUAGGACAUCCUUGCCGAGUAGGGGUGCGCCAACCUGGCUCUCUCAUGAAAGCAAGUAAAAAAUCUUGCCCAUAUAUGCCUCUAGGCAAGCUUUCAUAGGAUUCAAGCACCUACUACGUUUUGACUUCUUGCUCAACAAAGUGAGGCAAGGCCCAAUAAAUAAACCAAACAACCCCUCAAUCUUAAUAUAAUGGGUAUACAUUCAAAUGCACUAAAUUUGGAUUUAAAAUGUUGAAAUUUGGCAAUGGUGGCAAUAUCUUUUGUGGUUGUUGUUAGAGGAAGUCGAGGUGUUAAGUGGCUAUUCACCACAAAUUAUAUACACCUAGCAUAGUCAUGAUUUGGUGAUGUACGUAUUAUUUGAUUUUCCAAGAUUUUUAGUGUCCUACAAAUACAUGAACAAAAUAACCAUGAUUAACUUUGUUUAUUUAUGAAGAAAUGCAAAAUAAUCAUUUUUAGUGCAAAAUAAUAUUUUACUGUGUGAUUCUCAUCUAUAGAGUCUAGAAGAUUUUAUGGUAUAAUUCUAGGGCACUUAUAUGAUUUUAUAUCUAUUUUAUAAAGUAUUUUGUUAGACAUGGUGUCCACUAAUCAAUUUAUCAAGAACCAGAGUGUCUUUCAAAAAUCGCUGAAAAAUAGGUAUCCGUCAACAAAAAGUCAUCACUUGGUAUGUCCAACAGCAAAUUAAUCUGCUUAGAAAUAAACGGUAACCAAGUUAGUACUACCGUCAUAGGAUGCGAGAAAAUAACAAGAGAUAGUACUUGUGCUCCUACAGAAGAAAAAGAAAAAGAAAAAGAAAGAUUAAAAAAGAAGAUAGUAGUACUGGGCUGUCCUGAGAAUCAGAUGGAGCCUGCUUAGUUUUCUGGCCCAUAUCUGUGCGUCGGUGGAUCCACAAGACAGCCCAACAGAUUGGGAAAUGAAACAACUUUGGCGACAAACUGCUCAUAAUCGAAGCCCAUACAGUGGAUUCGUUAUUUCGUUUCCGGCCGUGCCAUAUGCGGGUAAACACUUUUGAUUUUUUUGUGGAGAUAUUUUUUUAACAAACGACUACAAUGUGCAACAAAAACUGACGUGGAAUGAUUCAAAUAUAAAUGCUAUACAUUAGGUGCCUGAUUUUUUCGGUUUCUCUCAAUAAUCACAGCCAUUGGAUCUUAAUCGUUUGGCAACAACUGGCUCUCGGCCACGUCCCGCCCUAGUGGCUCCCCGCCGCGCUAACCCGUCGCGCGCCUCUCCUCUGCACAAUCGCUAUCCACUGCCUCCCUCAAGAUAUUUUCCAAGCCUACAAGAGUUUUUUUUAUGAAAAAUUAAGCCUGCAAGAGUUUGUAAACCUGAAUCCACAUACACCGCCAGAGAGAAGAGCUCAAAUCUCAAUUAAGCAGCUUAUAGUGUAGGAAAUGUACAAUUCAAUCAAUGCACACUUAGUCAUAUCGCCUAGUCCUGUGAAGAAGGAUAAAGUUAUACCUCGCGAUGUUUUUUUUGAAAGAUUUGCAGAAGCACUGCACUGUCAUCCAAGAAGGAGAGAGAGCGCGCGCGCGUAUUACAAAGACAUAUAAAAACAGUUCACCCAAAAAAUAAAAACUUUUCAAGAUUUCUCAUCACAUCGAACCUUAUGCCACAUGCAUAGAGUACUAAAUAUAGAUGAAAACAAAAAGUAAUUUUACAGUUUGCCUGUAAAUCAUGAGAUGAAUCUUUUAAGCCUA
RNAcentral lists this long non-coding RNA (1871 nucleotides) under Sorghum bicolor (sorghum). RNAcentral describes it as "long non-coding RNA (SBIC_LNC003741)". Lineage: Eukaryota; Viridiplantae; Streptophyta; Magnoliopsida; Poales; Poaceae. The record is from RNAcentral.